Molecule: long non-coding RNA, 558 nt
Organism: Tupaia belangeri chinensis (Chinese tree shrew)
Lineage: Eukaryota; Metazoa; Chordata; Mammalia; Scandentia; Tupaiidae
Exons: 4
Source: RefSeq, a predicted model, not a curated record
CCCCGGUCCGGGCGCCCCGCUCAGGGCCACAGAAGGGUCUGAGGGCUCGGGGCGGGGGGAGGCGGGGGGAGGCGUGAUCCAAGCCCGUGGGAGUCUCCGUAGCCCCGCAGUCCCAGCGGCAAACUGCGCUAGGUCGGACGGACACCCGCAUGGAGGGGGUGGUGUUCACCACCUAAGCUCUGGAGUACCCAGGCUGGGAGGACACUGGCUGCACCCCCUUCUCCCACUGCAGACCGAGGCGGUGCUCUCUCGCUCUGCAACCAAUGUAGCUCAGCCUGUGUUGCCCUCCAAAGGGGUGGCCAAGACCACUGCUGAUCCUGGUGCACCGGGGGCUGUCCUCUAGAGACUUUGUGGUCCUUGCUUCUCUGUGUGGGUUGGAUUAAGGAGAGUCUCUGUUGAAGAACAAGACAGAAUUGCUGUGUUUGGUUCCUCUGAAGAAUCAACAAGGCACCAGGUAUUCACAACAGGACACAUGCACUGACUAGAGAAGAGAUAAGGAAAUACAGAGAUAGAGAUAGUGAGAAAUCACCACCCGAGGGAAUGGCCAUGCCUCCCUCU